Molecule: ribosomal RNA, 355 nt
Filed under: uncultured bacterium
Lineage: Bacteria
Description: partial 16S ribosomal RNA
Rfam family: Bacterial small subunit ribosomal RNA
Source: RNAcentral
CCUACGGGAGGCAGCAGUGAGGAAUAUUGGUCAAUGGGCGCAAGCCUGAACCAGCCAAGUCGCGUGAGGGAUGAAGGUCCUAUGGAUUGUAAACCUCUUUUGUCGGGGAGCAAGGCCCGCCACGUGUGGCGGGAAGGAGAGUACCCGAAGAAAAAGCAUCGGCUAACUCCGUGCCAGCAGCCGCGGUAAUAAGGAGGAUGCGAGCGUUAUCCGGAUUUAUUGGGUGUAAAGGGCGUGAGGGCGGGAAAGCAAGUCAGAUGUUAAAACUCAGGGCUCAACCCGGAGCCUGCAUUUGAAACUGGUUGUCUUGAGAUGUGGAGAGGCAUGCGGAAUGCCGAGUGUAGCGGUGAAAUGC